RNAcentral lists this small nucleolar RNA (131 nucleotides) under Bombyx mori (domestic silkworm). Its description in RNAcentral is "Bm_37". The record is from RNAcentral. Lineage: Eukaryota; Metazoa; Arthropoda; Insecta; Lepidoptera; Bombycidae.
AGCAGUCAGAAGGGUCUUAACUGACUCGACUGAACAGCGAAUGAUGAGAUCGGAUAUGAUUCUUGUUGAUUAAAAUCCGCUCCCUAGCUUAUCAACUAUCGCAGAUUUGCUAGGCGAAUGUCUGACGCUGU